Molecule: ribosomal RNA, 253 nt
Filed under: uncultured bacterium
Lineage: Bacteria
Description: partial 16S ribosomal RNA
Rfam family: Bacterial small subunit ribosomal RNA
Source: RNAcentral
GACAGGGGGCCCGAGCGUUAAUCGGAAUCACUGGGCUUAAAGGGUGCGUAGGCGGAUCAGAAAGUGUUUCGUGAAAACCCCCGGCUCAACCGGGGAAUUGCGGGGCAAACUUCUGAUCUUGAGGGAAGUAUGGGCGGACAGAACUAUCGGUGGAGCGGUGAAAUGCGCAGAUAUCAGGAGGAACACCGGUGGCGAAGGCGGGUCUCUGGGCCGUAACUGACGCUGAGGCGCGACAGCGUGGGGAGCAAACAGG